AGCGGAUGAUUACCAUGCAAACGUACGGGCGGGGGAGACCUCGUCAGUGGCGGACGGGUGAGUAACGCGUAGGUAUCUGUCCUUGGGUGGGGGAUAACCGUGGGAAACUGCGGCUAAUACCGCAUAUGUCCUGAGGGGCAAAGGCCUGAGAGGGUCUCCUGAUGGUGAGCCUGCGUCCGAUUAGCUGGUUGGUGGGGUAAUGGCCUACCUAGGCGAUGAUACGGUACCUGGUCUGAGAGGAUGGUCAGCCAAGCUGGGACUGUGACACGGCCCAGACUCCUACGGGAGGCAGCAUUGGGGAAUAUUGGACAAUGGGCCAAAGCCUGAUCCAGCUAUGCCGCGUGGGUGAAGAAGGUCUUCGGAUUGUAAAGCCCUUUCCGCGGGGACGAUGAUGACGGUACCCGCAGAAAAAGCCCCAGCUAACUUCGUGCCAGCUACCGCGGUAAU
This 447-nucleotide ribosomal RNA is filed under the name uncultured bacterium. RNAcentral describes it as "bacterial SSU rRNA". It matches the Rfam family "Bacterial small subunit ribosomal RNA", at positions 39 to 524 of the family's 1533-position model. The record is from RNAcentral.